UACAGAACGGUAAGCCGGGAUCACACGGAGGCGAAAUUGAGCUGAAAAUGGCACAUCGGUGCUUUUGUUGAGUGUUGAUGCCAGAAUCUAGAUUCAGUGGUGUUCACACGUCAGACUGCGAAAAUGACGUGAAAAUGGCGGAAAGCGGGGGAAAAAGUGUAAACAAACAAAACAUUUUUUUAUUGUAAUGAAUUUCGUCGCGCUUAUUUCUAGCUUUUUUUAACAUGUAAGUUGUUAAUUCAAAUUACAAAUAAGUAAUGGAUGAUAUUCUUACGUUCACUUUACUUGCUUGGACGAUUCUGCUGUUCCCCUAGUAGCAAAAAUACGUAUCCUCAUCCCCACAGUAAUACGUCUCAGAGAGAUACGUAUAAAUAUCGUAUUGAAUACGUAUUUAUACUAUUUUUAUACUGUAUCAAUAUUUAAUAUCCAAUACCUCUAUUUAAUACGUAUUUAUACUAUUUUUAUACUGUAUCAAUAUUCGAUAUUCGAUCAUCGCUAUUCAAUACGUAUUUAUCUUACACUUGAACCGUAUCAGAAUAUUCAAUGAAUAUCGGAUCCAAAUAUAGGUAUUUAUACCAGAUAUUUAAAAUUGCGCGCCACGUGGCUGCGAUGCCGACGGAAACGGUUACUGGUUCCGGCUCUCACCGAACAUCGGGACUCCCGGCGCCGGCAGUCGGGCAGUGUUUUGUUUUGUUCGCGCGUAAUUUUGCAUGCAUUUGCACUUGCACUGGUGUAAUUGAAGUUCUUGAAAGGUGCACGAUGGAGUCGAAUGAAGAAAUUGCUUCAGCUUCAAUUAAUACCGAGAAGGAUUGGACCAUAGUUUCGUAUAAAAACAUCAAAGGAGUAACCGUCUUUGACGUAAUUCCAAAUUUGUGGUUUAUAGAUGACAAGCACGAAAAAUGCUAUUAUCCGCCCUCAAUGCCUAAAUAUAGAGCCAAAAUAAAGCGAAGCCGGAGCCUCACUGGGAACAGCUACGAGUAAAGGAGACAAAUAUCAAUACUGUGAGUACAUUCAUAAAUUUACAGUUGUACUAAUCUUAGCCUGCAUUUACUUACUGAAUUGGUUACUGCAGUACCUGUUUGUAUGCAGAUAAUUUUAUUUUUUACCAGAGGGUAGACAGAAUUUUAAACAGAAUAAUGAAAAAAAUAUCAAGGAAUUUUUAUCAAUAGUCAUUACUUUUUUUCGAGCGGUUUGAUGUAUACUUCUGCUCAAAGGCACUUUUGCAUAGGACCAACAUAAAUUUAUACAAACGUUUCCGUUAUCCCCUAAUUCUGUCCACAAAAUAGCGUAACAAUUUGCUAAAAAAAUGAAACAAAUCUUACAAUCGAUUUCAAUAAUUUUUUAGAAACUUGUAACUUGCAUGUUAAGG
Molecule: long non-coding RNA, 1369 nt
Filed under: Bemisia tabaci
Lineage: Eukaryota; Metazoa; Arthropoda; Insecta; Hemiptera; Aleyrodidae
Description: lncRNA ENSSSA3NGG004985
Source: RNAcentral